GCCAGACUCCUACGGGAGGCAGCAGUGGGGGAUAUUGCACAAUGGGGGAAACCCUGAUGCAGCGACGCCGCGUGGGCGAAGAAGUAUUUCGGUAUGUAAAGCCCUAUCAGCAGGGAAGAAGAAAUGACGGUACCUGAGUAAGAAGCACCGGCUAAAUACGUGCCAGCAGCCGCGGUAAUACGUAUGGUGCAAGCGUUAUCCGGAUUUACUGGGUGUAAAGGGGGCGCAGACGGCAGCGCAAGCCAGGAGUGAAAGCCCGGGGCCCAACCCCGGGACUGCUCUUGGAACUGCGCGGCUGGAGUGCAGGAGGGGCAGGCGGAAUUCCUGGUGUAGCGGUGAAAUGCGUAGAUAUCAGGAGGAACACCGGUGGCGAAGGCGGCCUGCUGGACUGCGACUGACGUUGAGGCCCGAAAGCGUGGGGAGCAAACAGGAUUAGAUACCCUGGUA
RNAcentral lists this ribosomal RNA (447 nucleotides) under uncultured bacterium. RNAcentral's name for it is "partial 16S ribosomal RNA". It matches the Rfam family "Bacterial small subunit ribosomal RNA", at positions 330 to 792 of the family's 1533-position model. The record is from RNAcentral.